Molecule: ribosomal RNA, 251 nt
Filed under: uncultured bacterium
Lineage: Bacteria
Description: partial 16S ribosomal RNA
Rfam family: Bacterial small subunit ribosomal RNA
Source: RNAcentral
AACUAGAUGGCGACCGGCGCACGGGUGAGUAACACGUAUCCAACCUGCCUCAUACUCGGGGAUAGCCUUUCGAAAGAAAGAUUAAUAUCCGAUAGCAUAUAUUUCCCGCAUGGGUUUUAUAUUAAAGAAAUUCGGUAUGAGAUGGGGAUGCGUUCCAUUAGUUUGUUGGGGGGGUAACGGCCCACCAAGACUACGAUGGAUAGGGGUUCUGAGAGGAAGGUCCCCCACAUUGGAACUGAGACACGGUCCAA